Molecule: long non-coding RNA, 1539 nt
Filed under: Vigna radiata
Lineage: Eukaryota; Viridiplantae; Streptophyta; Magnoliopsida; Fabales; Fabaceae
Description: long non-coding RNA (VRAD_LNC018164)
Source: RNAcentral
AUUAUUAUUAUUAUUAUUUGUAUUAUUAUUAGUAUUAUUAUUAUUAAUAAUAGUAUUAGUAUUGAAGUGAUGACCCCUCAAGUGGCUUAAUUGGUAGCUGCUGUCACAAGCUAACAGGGAGAGCUGAAGAAGAAAAGGAGGCACUUGCUGCCAUUGAGUUUGCAAUAGAGGUGAAUACCCUCACUGUAGCUACAAUCUGUACCUUCUUUACUUAGAUUGAUUUUAUUGAGAAUAUGAUUAAAUUGUACAAUAUAUACCAAUAACUUUACAUUUCUGAUAGUGUUGCUUUAAAUUUCCAAAGGAGGUUAAUUCUCGCAUUGGACUGGAUUUUAAAUAGCUUACUGGAUUGUCAUUAACUAGCUGUAAGGAAUAGAAUGGGUCAAGCAGGUGAGGGUUAGUGAGUUUUCCUCGGGGAGGGAAACGAACUCACUCUCACUAAGCAAGUGAGUGAAGUGGUCCUCGAGGGAGGGACACGAAGGAGCGAUCACUCUUAGCCGCCCCUCGGGAAGCCCCAAAGCGUACCGAGAGAGGGCGCCAAAGAGUUACUAUCCGUCCUGACCUGGCAAGGUCAGGACUAAGCAAGUGAUGUAUUAGUUGGAAAAAGGAUUAUUUUGAAAGUGUUCUAAGUUUUGUGAACGGUAACAAAAUCAAGGGUAACGAAAUCAAGAUAUCAAGAGUAACUGCAUUGAAUGUGAUCUUGGUUUGUGUCCAUUUCUAUUCACUAUAGUUGUAGUUUGGCAUCCUUUCCCAGUUUUUAUAUUUUUUUUGGCAAAUAUUUGUAAAAUGCAUAUAUGACCUUGUUUAAAUGUCUGAUACUGAGUUUGAUUGUUAGGUGUUGUUCUUCUUGUGUUGAUUUAUUUUCGUUUUUUAAUUAGACUUGAGCCAACGGUAGAGCAUGUCAUGUAAAGGGUAGUGGCUUGGUAAUUGAUUCUGUGCUGUUAGUUUAUUGCUUUGGACCUUAAGUUCGCAAAAGACUAUGAUGCUGAAUUCAAAAAGUUUUAUGCUUUGGUAUAUGAAGAAAUUAGUUACAGUUUCCCCUUCUCAUUGAUUAGUCAACUCAGUUUCAUGAAAUUGUAGCAACAUAAUUUUAGAUGAACUUUUGUACAGNGUUCUUGUCAUUCAAGGCAUGUAUUUCAAAAAGCUUAAUGCUAAGUGGGAAGCUUAAUGCUGAAUCACAUUUUACUCGUGAGUUGAUUUAAGGUUUCUACACACUUGCAGAAGCAGCUGGCNAGAGAAUAAAAGCUGAUCUGUCUGGAGUCAUUAGUUUGAGCAGCAAAAGUAUCACAGUGUGGAGCUUGGAAUAGGAGAUUUGGUCCAAAGAAUUGGCAGUUAGAAGCAGUUGUUUGAUUAGGGGAGUGCUUAGCCUAUUCACUUUUGUUUUGUCUUAGCUUGUAAUUGAUAGUAUUGUUGGAUGUCCUGCUGAAUAAGUUUUGAUUUAACUGUGCAGUAUCAAUUUGGGCAAUCAUUUGACAGCAAUUAGGUUCUUUUCACUACACCAUUUGCAUCAAGGCGAGAGAAAGAAAUGGUGAAUGCGNNNNN